RNAcentral lists this ribosomal RNA (484 nucleotides) under uncultured bacterium. Its description in RNAcentral is "partial 16S ribosomal RNA". It matches the Rfam family "Bacterial small subunit ribosomal RNA", at positions 30 to 507 of the family's 1533-position model. The record is from RNAcentral.
AUUGAACGCUGGCGGCAGGCCUAACACAUGCAAGUCGAGCGGAUGAAGGGAGCUUGCUCCUGGAUUCAGCGGCGGACGGGUGAGUAAUGCCUAGGAAUCUGCCUGGUAGUGGGGGAUAACGUCCGGAAACGGGCGCUAAUACCGCAUACGUACUGAGGGUGAAAGUGGGGGAGCUUCGGAGCAAACGCUAUCAGAUGAGCCUAGGUCGGAUUAGCUAGUUCGUGGGGUAAAGGCCUACCAAGGCGACGAUCCGUAACUGGUCUGAGAGGAUGAUCAGUCACACUGGAACUGAGACACGGUCCAGACUCCUACGGGAGGCAGCAGUGGGGAAUAUUGGACAAUGGGCGAAAGCCUGAUCCAGCCAUGCCGCGUGUGUGAAGAAGGUCUUCGGAUUGUAAAGCACUUUAAGUUGGGAGGAAGGGCAGUAAGUUAAUACCUUGCUGUUUUGACGUUACCAACAGAAUAAGCACCGGCUAACUUCGUG